RNAcentral lists this ribosomal RNA (700 nucleotides) under Eubacterium sp. RF. RNAcentral's name for it is "bacterial SSU rRNA". It matches the Rfam family "Bacterial small subunit ribosomal RNA", at positions 51 to 750 of the family's 1533-position model. Lineage: Bacteria; Bacillati; Bacillota; Clostridia; Eubacteriales; Eubacteriaceae. The record is from RNAcentral.
ACACAUGCAAGUCGAACGAGAAGGUUUUGAAUGAUCCUUCGGGUGAAAUUAGAACUGGAAAGUGGCGAACGGGUGAGUAACGCGUGGGUAACCUGCCCUAUGGAAAGGAAUAGCCUCGGGAAACUGGGAGUAAAGCCUUAUAUUAUGGUUUUGUCGCAUGGCAAGAUCAUGAAAACUCCGGUGCCAUAGGAUGGACCCGCGUCCCAUUAGCUAGUUGGUGAGAUAACAGCCCACCAAGGCGACGAUGGGUAACCGGUCUGAGAGGGCGAACGGUCACACUGGAACUGAGACACGGUCCAGACUCCUACGGGAGGCAGCAGUGGGGAAUAUUGCGCAAUGGGGGCAACCCUGACGCAGCAAUACCGCGUGAGUGAAGAAGGUUUUCGGAUCGUAAAGCUCUGUUAUUGGGGAAGAAAACAUGACGGUACCCAAUGAGGAAGUCCCGGCUAACUACGUGCCAGCAGCCGCGGUAAUACGUAGGGGACAAGCGUUGUCCGGAAUGACUGGGCGUAAAGGGCGCGUAGGCGGUCUAUUAAGUCUGAUGUGAAAGGUACCGGCUCAACCGGUGAAGUGCAUUGGAAACUGGUAGACUUGAGUAUUGGAGAGGCAAGUGGAAUUCCUAGUGUAGCGGUGAAAUGCGUAGAUAUUAGGAGGAACACCAGUGGCGAAGGCGGCUUGCUGGACAAAUACUGACGCUGAG